Molecule: ribosomal RNA, 2920 nt
Filed under: Flavobacteriaceae bacterium CP2B
Lineage: Bacteria; Pseudomonadati; Bacteroidota; Flavobacteriia; Flavobacteriales; Flavobacteriaceae
Description: bacterial LSU rRNA
Rfam family: Bacterial large subunit ribosomal RNA
Source: RNAcentral
UUAAGUUAGAAAGGGCGCACGGUGGAUGCCUUGACACUAGGAGUCGAUGAAGGACGGGACUAACGCCGAUAUGCUUCGGGGAGCUGUAAGUAAGCUUUGAUCCGAAGAUUUCCGAAUGGGGAAACCCACCAUACGUAAUGGUAUGGUAUCCUUAUCUGAAUACAUAGGGUAAGGAAGACAGACUCAGGGAACUGAAACAUCUAAGUACCUGGAGGAAGAGAAAGCAAAUGCGAUUUCCUGAGUAGCGGCGAGCGAAACGGAACAUAGCCCAAACCAAGAGGCUUGCCUCUUGGGGUUGUAGGACAUUCUAUACGGAGUUACAAAGGAACGAGGUAGACGAAGCGACCUGGAAAGGUCCGUCGUAGAGGGUAACAACCCCGUAGUCGAAACUUCGUUCUCUCUUGAAUGUAUCCUGAGUACGGCGGAACACGUGAAAUUCCGUCGGAAUCUGGGAGGACCAUCUCCCAAGGCUAAAUACUCCCUAGUGAUCGAUAGUGAACCAGUACCGUGAGGGAAAGGUGAAAAGCACCCCGGAAGGGGAGUGAAAGAGAUCCUGAAACCGUGUGCCUACAAAUAGUCAGAGCCCGUUAACGGGUGAUGGCGUGCCUUUUGUAGAAUGAACCGGCGAGUUACGAUCCCGUGCGAGGUUAAGCUGAAGAGGCGGAGCCGCAGCGAAAGCGAGUCUGAAUAGGGCGUUUAGUACGUGGUCGUAGACCCGAAACCAGGUGAUCUACCCAUGUCCAGGGUGAAGUUCAGGUAACACUGAAUGGAGGCCCGAACCCACGCACGUUGAAAAGUGCGGGGAUGAGGUGUGGGUAGCGGAGAAAUUCCAAUCGAACCUGGAGAUAGCUGGUUCUCCCCGAAAUAGCUUUAGGGCUAGCCUUAAGUGUAAGAGUCUUGGAGGUAGAGCACUGAUUGGACUAGGGGUCCUCAUCGGAUUACCGAAUUCAGUCAAACUCCGAAUGCCAAUGACUUAUCCUUAGGAGUCAGACUGCGAGUGAUAAGAUCCGUAGUCAAAAGGGAAACAGCCCAGACCGCCAGCUAAGGUCCCAAAGUGUGUAUUAAGUGGAAAAGGAUGUGGAGUUGCUUAGACAACUAGGAUGUUGGCUUAGAAGCAGCCACCAUUUAAAGAGUGCGUAAUAGCUCACUAGUCGAGUGACUCUGCGCCGAAAAUGUACCGGGGCUAAAUACACCACCGAAGCUGCGGAUUGAUACCAAUGGUAUCAGUGGUAGGGGAGCGUUCUAAGGACAGUGAAGUCAGACCGGAAGGACUGGUGGAGUGCUUAGAAGUGAGAAUGCCGGUAUGAGUAGCGAAAGACGGGUGAGAAUCCCGUCCACCGAAUGCCUAAGGUUUCCUGAGGAAGGCUCGUCCGCUCAGGGUUAGUCAGGACCUAAGCCGAGGCCGACAGGCGUAGGCGAUGGACAACAGGUUGAUAUUCCUGUACCACCUCUUUAUCGUUUGAGCAAUGGAGGGACGCAGAAGGAUAGAAGAAGCGUGCGAUUGGUUGUGCACGUCCAAGCAGUUAGGCUGAUAAGUAGGCAAAUCCGCUUAUCGUGAAGGCUGAGCUGUGAUGGGGAAGCUCCUUAUGGAGCGAAGUCUUUGAUUCCCCGCUGCCAAGAAAAGCUUCUAGCGAGAUAAAAGGUGCCUGUACCGCAAACCGACACAGGUAGGCGAGGAGAGAAUCCUAAGGUGUGCGAGAGAACUCUGGUUAAGGAACUCGGCAAAAUGACCCCGUAACUUCGGGAGAAGGGGUGCUUUCUUAACGGAAAGCCGCAGUGAAUAGGCCCAAGCGACUGUUUAGCAAAAACACAGCUCUCUGCGAAGCCGUAAGGCGAAGUAUAGGGGGUGACACCUGCCCGGUGCUGGAAGGUUAAGGAGAGGGGUUAGCGUAAGCGAAGCUCUGAACUGAAGCCCCAGUAAACGGCGGCCGUAACUAUAACGGUCCUAAGGUAGCGAAAUUCCUUGUCGGGUAAGUUCCGACCCGCACGAAAGGUGUAACGAUUUGGGCACUGUCUCAACCAGAGACUCGGUGAAAUUAUAGUACCUGUGAAGAUGCAGGUUACCCGCGACAGGACGGAAAGACCCCGUGGAGCUUUACUGUAGCCUGAUAUUGAAUUUUGGUACAGUUUGUACAGGAUAGGCGGGAGCCUUUGAAACCGGAGCGCUAGCUUCGGUGGAGGCGCUGGUGGGAUACCGCCCUGACUGUAUUGAAAUUCUAACCUACGGGUCUUAUCGACCCGGGAGACAGUGUCAGGUGGGCAGUUUGACUGGGGCGGUCGCCUCCUAAAGUGUAACGGAGGCGCCCAAAGGUUCCCUCAGAAUGGUUGGAAAUCAUUCGUAGAGUGCAAAGGCAUAAGGGAGCUUGACUGCGAGACCUACAAGUCGAGCAGGGACGAAAGUCGGGCUUAGUGAUCCGGUGGUUCCGCAUGGAAGGGCCAUCGCUCAACGGAUAAAAGCUACCCCGGGGAUAACAGGCUUAUCUCCCCCAAGAGUCCACAUCGACGGGGAGGUUUGGCACCUCGAUGUCGGCUCAUCGCAUCCUGGGGCUGUAGUCGGUCCCAAGGGUUGGGCUGUUCGCCCAUUAAAGCGGUACGCGAGCUGGGUUCAGAACGUCGUGAGACAGUUCGGUCCCUAUCCGUCGUGGGCGUAGGAAAUUUGAGAGGAGCUGUCCUUAGUACGAGAGGACCGGGAUGGACGCACCGCUGGUGUACCAGUUGUUCUGCCAAGGGCAUAGCUGGGUAGCUAUGUGCGGAAGGGAUAAGUGCUGAAAGCAUCUAAGCAUGAAGCCCCCCUCAAGAUGAGAUUUCCCAUAGCGUAAGCUAGUAAGAUCCCUGAAAGAUGAUCAGGUUGAUAGGUUCGAGGUGGAAGCAUGGUGACAUGUGGAGCUGACGAAUACUAAUAGAUCGAGGACUUAACCAU